UGGUUGGUACUUAGUUUCCGAAGAUGUCGAAGUAGUUGAAACUGAAGAAAAUUUUGAUCUCUCAUUGAAAGUCUGAGAAUAUAUAUUAUCCACAGCGCACAGGCAGAAUGCUUGUUGAAUAUGACCAGAGUUUGGGGAAAGCGUAAACUUCAAGGUAUUCAUUUUUUUGUUGUUGCUGCCAUUAGGUGAUUUCAAUAACAUCCUAUAUAUAUAUUGUUUGUUUGUUUGCUUGCUUCCUGGAAACCUCCCUAGGCUGUGGGUACGGCCCUAAAAAGCAAAAAAAAAAAAAAAAGGAGUUUUGCCUAAGGUGGUCAGCAAAGGCUUCUGGAGGAAAUGAUAUCUGCCCAUAAACUUAAAGGACUGAGUACAGCUAGGUAAUAAAGGAUGAGGGGCUUGGGGAAAUGGGAAUUGUCUUCUGAACGGAGGGGAAUGGUUUAUGUACAGAGUCCUGGGGCCAGAUGGAGCAUGGUGACGUGGGGGUACUAUGUACACUGAGUUUUUCAGCCAGGUGCUGGUGAGGCAUGGGCAGAUGGAAGGGUUACACAUGGCGUUACCAUAUGGACUUUAUCUUGCUGGCAGUAAGGAUCCAUUGGCUGAUCAUUUUGUAAUUAUUAGGGGUCGGGGGGAAACCACAUCGAAUUUGAACUUCGAAACAUGCACCUGGCCUCCUUGUGGAGCAUGGCUUGAGGGAGCUGAGAUGAGAAAUGAUGAGAACAGUCAGAAGUGUUGGGGAGGGAGAUGCUCAUGACCUUACUGAGUGAGUGGUGGAGCAGAAGAACAGACUGACAGGUGAGGUUCAGGAACCGAUAACCUUGGUGUUUGGAUGGAGAAGCUGAAAGAGUCAAGGAACACACCUAGGGUGCUAUAGACACUCGUGUCUGCCUUUGUUCUAGCACAUGUCCCAUGGUGUUUUAAGUGUUCGUAUCUUCGAUUCCUGAGUUUGACUCUACAUUACUUGAGGAUUCACCCUUGUAUCCACUGCACCCAUUGUGGAAGGGCAACAUGAACAUGCGUGGGAGGUCAAGCUAGGGGAUUGAUGGAGCAAAGUUGUGUGCAUGUGGCCCACAGGAAGGGACUGCUGAGCAGAGCACUGAGUGUGUGGUGGCGCCUCUCGUCCUCAGCUCUUUGCUCCCGUCUUUUGUGGGCUUUGAAAGCAAGCUGGACAGAAUGACUAGGGGCACACUGGACCUCAGCUGAAGCCCGGGGAGCUUUUCAGGACUGAAGCAGAAGCUGCUUGGUGUGUGGCUUUGUGCUUUUGUGCAUUCACACCACUGUGUGUGGACUUGCAUUGAAAGUCUGCAGUGUGGAGACAGGGUAGGAGGCGGGACCCAGGAGAGAUAAUAGCACG
This 1348-nucleotide long non-coding RNA is filed under the name Sus scrofa (pig). RNAcentral describes it as "lncRNA (ENSSSCG00025067267.1)". Lineage: Eukaryota; Metazoa; Chordata; Mammalia; Artiodactyla; Suidae. The record is from RNAcentral.